This 253-nucleotide ribosomal RNA is filed under the name uncultured bacterium. RNAcentral describes it as "partial 16S ribosomal RNA". It matches the Rfam family "Bacterial small subunit ribosomal RNA", at positions 524 to 776 of the family's 1533-position model. The record is from RNAcentral.
UACAGAGGAGCCAAGCGUUGUCCGGAUUGACUGGGCGUAAAGCGCACGCAGGCGGUUGCGCGCGUGGGGGGUGAAAUCUGGCCGCUUAACGGCCAGGCGCCAUCCCAUACGGCGCGACUGGAGUGAUGCAGAGGUCGAUGGAAUUGCCGGUGUAGUGGUGAAAUGCGUAGAUAUCUGCAGGAACACCCGUGGCGAAAGCGGCGCGCUGGACCACUACUGACGCUGAGGAACGAAAGCUAGGGGAGCAAACAGG